UACGCCCUCCAUUCCAGAGUCUCCCGCUCCGGCCGGGGCACGCCCAGAGCGCGGCGGGCAGCGUGGUCGGCGCGCGGGUCUCAGGCCGGGCCGCGCAGCCUCCGGGCGCCCCGGGCGCAGGGACGGGAGGCGGGGCGGCCGGGGGCGGAGCGGCAGCCGAGGCCCUGAGCCGGGCCCCCGCUCGCCCUCCGCCGCCGGCUGGCGCGGCCAUGGAGGUCUACAUCCCGUCCUUUCGCUACGAGGAGAGUGAUCUGGAGCGGGGAUACACGGUGUUUAAGAUAGAAGUGCUAAUGAAUGGAAGAAAACAUUUUGUUGAAAAAAGGUACAGCGAAUUUCAUGCCUUGCACAAAAAGCUUAAAAAAUGUAUAAAAACUCCAGAAAUCCCUUCUAAACAUGUUAGAAACUGGGUCCCAAAAGUCUUGGAACAACGACGACAAGGUUUGGAAACAUAUUUACAGUCUGUCAUUUUAGAAAAUGAAGAACUUCCCAAACUGUUUCUUGAUUUCCUCAAUGUGCGACAGUUGCCCUCUCUACCAAAGGCAGAAAGUUGUGGAUCUUUUGAUGAGACAGAAUCUGAAGAGUCAAGCAAACUGUCCCACCAGCCAGUUCUGCUGUUCCUCAGGGAUCCAUACAUCUUGCCUGCAGCCAGCGCAUCCAGCAUACGCUCAGCUCUUGGAGGAUGAUGAACACAAGGCCUCAGUACUUGCUGUGUCCCCCAUCGGGAGUGCCCUGCUCCCAGAUUUUCCAAAUGUUGUUAUUGAAGGAGUUCUCCAUGGGAUAUUUUACCCUCAUCUACUGCCCAGGUAGAAAUCCUACGUGGCUAAAGGAAGCUGAAGCACGCUUCAAAGUCGUAGGAAAUCAAUAUCUACCAAAUUAACCUAAACUCUAUGACAUAACAGCUCUAGCUAGUGGUAAAAUUCACCAUCCUAGCUUUAUUCGGGGCAGGGAUCUUUCCAUUAGAAUGGUGCUUUUAAAAAUAGAAACUGAACCAGGGUUGUGGUCAGGUUAAUGCCAAGUGUUUUAAGAAACAGAAUGCAGCUGCCAACUUCGAAACCCAUGAAGAGAUGGCCGCAGUGGAUUCCUAGAAGCACUGAGUGUAACAGAACCAAGUUACUCUCUGCUUCAGGCGCACCAUUUGCUAAUUGAAAAUCAUAUCCUGAAUCAAACUGAGACUGAUCGACUUUGAUAGCUUUUUUCUUCAAAUCUUAUAAUACACUACUUGUCUCCAUGAGAUUUUCUCAGCCAGUGAUGUUACAUUUUGAAGUGCUGGCACCAGGAGAGUGUCACAGAAAUCCACCAUGCUAAAUGUGAGGAAGGACCUAAACUGGAAAUUAAAUUAUACUGACAAUGGGAUGGUAUUUUAAUUUACAUUACAGUGGAGUUGCAUCAUAUCCAAGGGUUAGCUUCUAACAUCAGCAGAUAAGAUAAAAUGGGAUAUUAGGAUAAUCCUUGAAAGCCCUUUAUAAAGUCACAAUAUUGGAAAUCUCGACAUUAACCACAACCAGUUUUUCCUCCAGUGUGGGAAGAAAUGAGUGUUUCUUCAUUUGACAAGCAAAUUAAGCUGCUGGUGUGUGUUUGGGGGCCAUUUUGUAUAAAAAGCACAUAUCCGUAAACACUAGAAACACACGUAGCCCUGUGAGAUACUUGCCCUGUAAGAGGAAGAUGUGAAUUGACAAUGACUAAAGGAGCUGCAGAUGAACAACGCCCUUUGGGUUUGCGUAAAGGCGUGCGUGCAUUGAAUAGGUGGUAUUGCUGCAGGAUUUUUCAUAUCACUGUCCUUAUGGGUUCCUUUUCACUGACCUCAUUACUGAGUUAAUGUAAGUUAGAUGUGUGUAUGAUAUAACUCCACUGUAUAUCAUAUAGACAGUCAUAUUUUGAGUAGUAAAGUAUAAAAGCAUAUAUGCUACCUGUACAUAUGUGCUGUAUGUGGACAUUUCAUUGAAAACUAAUUAAAAGCUAGCCUAUUUAUGGUUAUUAGUUUUAAUAAGAUUCUGUGUGGAAGAAAAAUAUUUAAAAUCCCAACUAAUAACUAUAUCAUGGUUUUUGAUUAGGAUCUAAAUAUGCAGGGUUAAAGCCUGCUGCAAACUUUUAAAGAUAUGUUUUAUGAUAGAUUAUGUUACUACAUGUUAGAAACAAGCAAGAACUAAAUAAUCAAGUGUCAUAAACCAAAAUUAACUGAAUAGGCAAGUAUUGGAGUUAUUUUUUAAAUGUUUUUGUGU
RNA transcript from Cynocephalus volans (Philippine flying lemur), 2219 nucleotides. It is a transcript of the gene named sorting nexin 24, with no coding region annotated. The record is from RefSeq and is a predicted model, not a curated record. The transcript has 8 exons. NCBI's taxonomy places the organism in Eukaryota, Metazoa, Chordata, Mammalia, Dermoptera, Cynocephalidae.